UGCGCGGGGCACACGCAGCUGAGAGUGCAGGCCGUGGCGCAUGCGCGCUGCAGGGAAGGCGCCUCCCGGAACAAGCGGCCCGGGCAGAGUGCGGGAAGGUAGCGCGCCGAGUCGGGAGGCGCUGGCAGCGGGGACCGCAUCCGGAUACCAGCUUUAGAAUUGCAACCUUGCCAAUGGACCUGAUUGGUUUUGGUUAUGCGGCCCUUGUGACUUUUGGAAGCAUUUUGGGAUAUAAGCGGAGAGGUGGUGUUCCAUCUUUGAUCGCUGGUCUUUUUGUUGGAUUUUUGGCUGGCUAUGGAGCUUACCGAGUCUCAAAUGACAAGCGAGAUGUAAAACUGUCACUGUUUACAGCUUUCUUCCUGGCCACCAUAAUGGGCGUGAGGUAUAAGAGAUCCAAGAAAAUCAUGCCAGCUGGUCUGGUUGCAGGUUUAAGGCUUCAAGAUCUCAGAGCGUGAAGCCCAACCUCCAAUUCCAACCAGGGCGUUACCAGGUUAAUCCAUGAGAGCAACUUGGGGAGAGGGCAGCAUCCGGGAGCCCAUCGUCUGGGUAUGGCCAUGAAGAGAAUGGAAUACAGUGAAAUUCCUCAGACUGCAUACUAUCCGAGGAAUUUUCUACCAAGAGCAACCGGAUGGACUCCAUUCUGCCUUGGCCAUUGAAGUAGUGAAGCUUGGGCUUCCCCGCCAUGCUUAAGGACUCCUGCAAAUCAACAGAGAGAGACUGAUGAAGACUGUUCUGCACACAGAGCAGGAGAGGAAUCCGCAUGAAGAGAGCAAUGCAAAGUUAACCAGAAAGCUCAGGGCCUGUGCCCAAAAUCAGAGCUGCUCCUCAGCUCCAAGGCUUCCUGUGUUCUGUGCUCUUCCUCACAAAUGGAGUUUAUCGCCACAAAUUGAUGUUCUCAAAACUUAAUUGAAUCACUGAUACAUUUUUUAAAAUAGAAAGAGGACAAGUGAGGAAGCCAGACAGAUGGAAGGAAUUUGAAAAUAAGACUCUGACCAGUUCUUCCUCCGGUAGCAGGUGGCGAGGUGUUAGCAUUGCAAUGUUUUUUUCUUUUUUCUAUCCAGGUCCUCCUCCCUCCUCCUACCGGCACAGCCCAGACUGGCUAAAUGGGGCGAGAUUAGGGGAGGCUGAUGCUUUUCACUUUCCAAAUUAAUUUCAGUACUUUAAUUCUGGCGACCUCUGAAGCCUGGAGACAGCAAUCAAGGGGAUUUUCAAUGACUCAUUAGGAUUUAAAGCAAAAGUGCAAAGUUAAGCAAAGUGGGUCUUUUCACACUUUCUUUUUCCUCUGAAAAUGGAAAUAUCUUUUUUAGAAACAUAACCUUUGCUCACCUUGAAGAAAUUAAAGUAUUAUAGAAAUCAAAAGCCCAUCCUGUGUGACCCCAAGAUAGCAUCUGAGGUUUAUGGGACAUGGAGAGGUAGACUUGGUGGGGGGACAGUCUUUGGACAUUUAAAGGUGGCUUGAGGUACUUGGAAGGGGGUUCCUGGAAGCAUCGGGGCCUGUGUGGAGGGGUGGGAGUGGCUUUAGGAGUAGAAAGAGUUCAUGUCUACAUGCUUUCAAUGGGAACUGAUAUAUUUUGGAGCAUAUCACCUGGCUCAAUUUAAAAAAAAAAUUUUUUUUUCAACAUUUAUUUAUUUUUUUUGGGACAGAGA
RNA transcript from Prionailurus viverrinus (fishing cat), 1647 nucleotides. It is a transcript of the gene named transmembrane protein 14A, with no coding region annotated. The record is from RefSeq and is a predicted model, not a curated record. NCBI's taxonomy places the organism in Eukaryota, Metazoa, Chordata, Mammalia, Carnivora, Felidae. The transcript has 6 exons.